RNAcentral lists this unclassified non-coding RNA (245 nucleotides) under plant metagenome. RNAcentral's name for it is "partial contains small subunit ribosomal RNA, internal transcribed spacer 1, and 5.8S ribosomal RNA". The record is from RNAcentral.
UCUCCGUUGGUGAACCAGCGGAGGGAUCAUUACCGAGUUUACAACUCCCAAACCCAAUGUGAACCAUACUAAACUGUUGCCCCGGCGGGGUCACGCCCCGGGUGCGUCGCAGCCCCGGAACCAGGCUCGCGCCGGAGGGGCCAACCAAACUCUUUGUGUAGUCCCCUCGCGGACGUUAUUUCAUACUGCUCUGAACAGAAAUUCAAGAAGUGUCAAAACUUUCAACAACGGAUCUCUUGGUUCUG